AUUGAACGCUGGCGGCAGGCCUAACACAUGCAAGUCGAACGGUAACAGGAAGAAGCUUGCUUCUUUGCUGACGAGUGGCGGACGGGUGAGUAAUGUCUGGGAAACUGCCUGAUGGAGGGGGAUAACUACUGGAAACGGUAGCUAAUACCGCAUAACGUCGCAAGACCAAAGAGGGGGACCUUCGGGCCUCUUGCCAUCGGAUGUGCCCAGAUGGGAUUAGCUAGUAGGUGGGGUAACGGCUCACCUAGGCGACGAUCCCUAGCUGGUCUGAGAGGAUGACCAGCCACACUGGAACUGAGACACGGUCCAGACUCCUACGGGAGGCAGCAGUGGGGAAUAUUGCACAAUGGGCGCAAGCCUGAUGCAGCCAUGCCGCGUGUAUGAAGAAGACCUUCGGGUUGUAAAGUACUUUCAGCGGGGAGGAAGGGAGUAAAGUUAAUACCUUUGCUCAUUGACGUUACCCGCAGAAGAAGCACCGGCUAACUCCGUG
This 490-nucleotide ribosomal RNA is filed under the name uncultured bacterium. RNAcentral's name for it is "partial 16S ribosomal RNA". It matches the Rfam family "Bacterial small subunit ribosomal RNA", at positions 30 to 507 of the family's 1533-position model. The record is from RNAcentral.